CUAUUAUUUUGAUUUAUAAAAAUUGGUAAUACCUAAGUAUUAUGAAAAUAUUAUUAUUAUUAUAUUAAUAUUAUAUUAUUUAAAACUUAAAAGGUUUGGCGGUUUUACAUAUCCAGUUAGGGGAGUUUGUUAAUUGAUUUGAUGAUCCUCGUUUUAAACUUACUUUUUUUUGAUAUAUUUAUAUAUACAGUUUGUAUAUUGCUGUCGUUAGUUUAUGUUUUGAGAAUUAUUAAAAGACUAGGAAAUGUAUUGAUUUUUAUGUUAAGUCAUAAUGCAGCUAAUAAAAAAGGUUUAAUGAACUACUUUAAUAAAUUUUGUUAAAUAUCCGGAUAUUAGAAAUUAUAUUUUAUUAGAAAGGUGGACUUAAUAGUAAAUAAUAAUUAGUGUGUAUUAUUGAAUUUGGUUUUGUAGAGUGU
RNAcentral lists this ribosomal RNA (416 nucleotides) under Enteroctopus dofleini (giant Pacific octopus). RNAcentral describes it as "partial 12S rRNA". The record is from RNAcentral. Lineage: Eukaryota; Metazoa; Mollusca; Cephalopoda; Octopoda; Octopodidae.